UACGGAGGGUGCGAGCGUUGUCCGGAAUCAUUGGGCGUAAAGGGCGCGUAGGCGGCCUUCUAAGUCGAACGUGAAAUCCCCGGGCUCAACCCGGGAACUGCGUCCGAUACUGGAAGGCUUGAAUCCGGGAGAGGGAUGUGGAAUUCCAGGUGUAGCGGUGAAAUGCGUAGAUAUCUGGAGGAACACCGGUGGCGAAGGCGACAUCCUGGACCGGUAUUGACGCUGAGGCGCGAAAGCCAGGGGAGCAAACGGG
RNAcentral lists this ribosomal RNA (253 nucleotides) under uncultured bacterium. RNAcentral describes it as "partial 16S ribosomal RNA". It matches the Rfam family "Bacterial small subunit ribosomal RNA", at positions 524 to 776 of the family's 1533-position model. The record is from RNAcentral.